Molecule: long non-coding RNA, 181 nt
Organism: Lontra canadensis (Northern American river otter)
Lineage: Eukaryota; Metazoa; Chordata; Mammalia; Carnivora; Mustelidae
Exons: 2
Source: RefSeq, a predicted model, not a curated record
UUCUUUACCAGCUAAAAAUGCUCAUUUACUCUGUUGUGGACAGCAAGGACAUCAUCACAGUGGAAGAAAAUGACAGCCAAAGAUUCUACUUAACAUUACAGUCUCCAAGUCAUACAAACAGAGCCUAAUGCCGUGUUGGAGACAAAUUAUAAGAAACUUAAACUUUGAGAUUUAAAAAAAU